This is a long non-coding RNA of Drosophila ananassae, 3921 nucleotides long. RefSeq lists it as uncharacterized. The record is from RefSeq and is a predicted model, not a curated record. NCBI's taxonomy places the organism in Eukaryota, Metazoa, Arthropoda, Insecta, Diptera, Drosophilidae. The transcript has 49 exons.
CAGUAUAAUUUGGAAAUUUCAGGCACCAAAUACCAGAAAAGAAACAUAGCGACAUAUUAAGCGUAACAACCUCCAUAAAAGACACCCCUAAAUCGAAAAUAAAAUAACAUCCAAUGAAUGAUGAAAUAUUUACCCAGCUCGCUUUGAUCUUAAGUGAAGAAAACUUCCGAACCAACGCAAAAGAAGUCUCUGAACCCAAACUAAUAUAAAAUGUUUUCGAUUUGGUGUAAACUUUUUUAAUAGCGUUAUGUAUUUCUCUUACAGAACGCAGUGGAUGGAAUUAUCAUUUUGCCCCUUCAUUCAAUCAGUCGAAGCGUCGCUUUCGCACACGCAAUUCUAGAUUCAAAAUACGAUUUGUUAUUUAGGUUUUGAAACGCGUAAAGAAUUUAACUGCGCACACUGCUUGAGGAACUUUCAGGUUUUGAAAUGUGAAAAGAAUUUAACAGCGGACGCUGCUUGAUGAACUUUGAGAACGCAGUGGAUGGAAUUAUCAUUUUGCCCCUUCAUUCAAUCAGUCGAAGCGUCGCUUUCGCACACGCAAUUCUAGAUUCAAAAUACGAUUUGUUAUUUAGGUUUUGAAACGCGUAAAGAAUUUAACUGCGCACACUGCUUGAGGAACUUUCAGGUUUUGAAAUGUGAAAAGAAUUUAACAGCGGACGCUGCUUGAGGAACUUUGAGAACGCAGUGGAUGGAAUUAUCAUUUUGCCCCUUCAUUCAAUCAGUCGAAGCGUCGCUUUCGCACACGCAAUUCUAGAUUCAAAAUACGAUUUGUUAUUUAGGUUUUGAAACGCGUAAAGAAUUUAACUGCGCACACUGCUUGAGGAACUUUCAGGUUUUGAAAUGUGAAAAGAAUUUAACAGCGGACGCUGCUUGAGGAACUUUGAGAACGCAGUGGAUGGAAUUAUCAUUUUGCCCCUUCAUUCAAUCAGUCGAAGCGUCGCUUUCGCACACGCAAUUCUAGAUUCAAAAUACGAUUUGUUAUUUAGGUUUUGAAACGCGUAAAGAAUUUAACUGCGCACACUGCUUGAGGAACUUUCAGGUUUUGAAAUGUGAAAAGAAUUUAACAGCGGACGCUGCUUGAGGAACUUUGAGAACGCAGUGGAUGGAAUUAUCAUUUUGCCCCCUUCAUUCAAUCAGUCGAAGCGUCGCUUUCGCACACGCAAUUCUAGAUUCAAAAUACGAUUUGUUAUUUAGGUUUUGAAACGCGUAAAGAAUUUAACUGCGCACACUGCUUGAGGAACUUUCAGGUUUUGAAAUGUGAAAAGAAUUUAACAGCGGACGCUGCUUGAGGAACUUUGAGAACGCAGUGGAUGGAAUUAUCAUUUUGCCCCUUCAUUCAAUCAGUCGAAGCGUCGCUUUCGCACACGCAAUUCUAGAUUCAAAAUACGAUUUGUUAUUUAGGUUUUGAAACGCGUAAAGAAUUUAACUGCGCACACUGCUUGAGGAACUUUCAGGUUUUGAAAUGUGAAAAGAAUUUAACAGCGGACGCUGCUUGAGGAACUUUGAGAACGCAGUGGAUGGAAUUAUCAUUUUGCCCCUUCAUUCAAUCAGUCGAAGCGUCGCUUUCGCACACGCAAUUCUAGAUUCAAAAUACGAUUUGUUAUUUAGGUUUUGAAACGCGUAAAGAAUUUAACUGCGCACACUGCUUGAGGAACUUUCAGGUUUUGAAAUGUGAAAAGAAUUUAACAGCGGACGCUGCUUGAGGAACUUUGAGAACGCAGUGGAUGGAAUUAUCAUUUUGCCCCUUCAUUCAAUCAGUCGAAGCGUCGCUUUCGCACACGCAAUUCUAGAUUCAAAAUACGAUUUGUUAUUUAGGUUUUGAAACGCGUAAAGAAUUUAACUGCGCACACUGCUUGAGGAACUUUCAGGUUUUGAAAUGUGAAAAGAAUUUAACAGCGGACGCUGCUUGAGGAACUUUGAGAACGCAGUUGAUGGGAUUAUCAUUUUGCCACACACAUUCAAUCAGUCGAAGCACCACUUUCGCACACGCAAUUCUAGAUUCAAAAUACGAUUUGUUAUUUAGGUUUUGAAAUGUGCAAAGAAUUUAACAGCGGACACUGCUUGAGGAACUUUCAGGUUUUGAAAUGUGAAAAGAAUUUAACAGCGGACACUGCUUGAGGAACUUUGAGAACGCAGUUGAUGGGAUUAUCAUUUUGCCACACACAUUCAAUCAGUCGAAGCACCACUUUCGCACACGCAAUUCUAGAUUCAAAAUACGAUUUGUUAUUUAGGUUUUGAAAUGUGCAAAGAAUUUAACAGCGGACACUGCUUGAGGAACUUUCAGAACGCAGUUGAUGGGAUUAUCAUUUUGCCACACACAUUCAAUCAGUCGAAGCACCACUUUCGCACACGCAAUUCUAGAUUCAAAAUACGAUUUGUUAUUUAGGUUUUGAAAUGUGCAAAGAAUUUAACAGCGGACACUGCUUGAGGAACUUUCAGAACGCAGUGGAUGGAAUUAUCAUUUUGCCCCUUCAUUCAAUCAGUCGAAGCGUCGCUUUCGCACACGCAAUUCUAGAUUCAAAAUACGAUUUGUUAUUUAGGUUUUGAAACGCGUAAAGAAUUUAACUGCGCACACUGCUUGAGGAACUUUCAGGUUUUGAAAUGUGAAAAGAAUUUAACAGCGGACGCUGCUUGAGGAACUUUGAGAACGCAGUUGAUGGGAUUAUCAUUUUGCCACACACAUUCAAUCAGUCGAAGCACCACUUUCGCACACGCAAUUCUAGAUUCAAAAUACGAUUUGUUAUUUAGGUUUUGAAAUGUGCAAAGAAUUUAACAGCGGACACUGCUUGAGGAACUUUCAGGUUUUGAAAUGUGAAAAGAAUUUAACAGCGGACACUGCUUGAGGAACUUUGAGAACGCAGUUGAUGGGAUUAUCAUUUUGCCACACACAUUCAAUCAGUCGAAGCACCACUUUCGCACACGCAAUUCUAGAUUCAAAAUACGAUUUGUUAUUUAGGUUUUGAAAUGUGCAAAGAAUUUAACAGCGGACACUGCUUGAGGAACUUUCAGAACGCAGUUGAUGGGAUUAUCAUUUUGCCACACACAUUCAAUCAGUCGAAGCACCACUUUCGCACACGCAAUUCUAGAUUCAAAAUACGAUUUGUUAUUUAGGUUUUGAAAUGUGCAAAGAAUUUAACAGCGGACACUGCUUGAGGAACUUUCAGAACGCAGUGGAUGGAAUUAUCAUUUUGCCCCUUCAUUCAAUCAGUCGAAGCGUCGCUUUCGCACACGCAAUUCUAGAUUCAAAAUACGAUUUGUUAUUUAGGUUUUGAAACGCGUAAAGAAUUUAACUGCGCACACUGCUUGAGGAACUUUCAGAACGCAGUUGAUGGGAUUAUCAUUUUGCCACACACAUUCAAUCAGUCGAAGCACCACUUUCGCACACGCAAUUCUAGAUUCAAAAUACGAUUUGUUAUUUAGGUUUUGAAACGCGUAAAGAAUUUAACUGCGCACACUGCUUGAGGAACUUUCAGAACGCAGUGGAUGGAAUUAUCAUUUUGCCCCUUCAUUCAAUCAGUCGAAGCGUCGCUUUCGCACACGCAAUUCUAGAUUCAAAAUACGAUUUGUUAUUUAGGUUUUGAAACGCGUAAAGAAUUUAACUGCGCACACUGCUUGAGGAACUUUCAGAACGCAGUUGAUGGGAUUAUCAUUUUGCCACACACAUUCAAUCAGUCGAAGCACCACUUUCGCACACGCAAUUCUAGAUUCAAAAUACGAUUUGUUAUUUAGGUUUUGAAAUGGGCAAAGAAUUUAACAGCGGACACUGCUUGAGGAACUUUCAGGUGCAUAAGUUAACAAAUUUAAAUUAAGCAAGGUAACAUGGUUAUUUAUUUUCGAUAUUGGAUCUGUUUCAAGUGUAUUUUAGUCCACUAGAACGACUUUUUAGUUAAUAUACGGCUCGAUUUUACCUCAAUAAAUAAA